UACGAAGGGUGCAAGCGUUACUCGGAAUUACUGGGCGUAAAGCGUGCGUAGGUGGUUUGUUAAGUCUGCUGUGAAAUCCCCGGGCUCAACCUGGGAACUGCAUUUGUGACUGCAAGGCUAGAGUACGGUAGAGGGGGAUGGAAUUCCGCGUGUAGCAGUGAAAUGCGUAGAUAUCAAGUGGAACACCAGUGGCGAAGGCGAGUCUCUGGACAUUUCCUGACGCUGAGGCACGAAAGCCAGGGGAGCAAACGGG
This 253-nucleotide ribosomal RNA is filed under the name uncultured bacterium. Its description in RNAcentral is "partial 16S ribosomal RNA". It matches the Rfam family "Bacterial small subunit ribosomal RNA", at positions 524 to 776 of the family's 1533-position model. The record is from RNAcentral.